GAUGAAGAACGUAGCUAAAUGCGAUAAGUAAUGUGAAUUGCAGAAUUCAGUGAAUCAUCGAAUCUUUGAACGCACAUUGCGCCCGCUAGUAUUCUGGCGGGCAUGCCUGUCCGAGCGUCAUUUCAACCCUCAAGCCCCCGGGCUUGGUGUUGGGGAUCGGCGAGCCUCCGCGCCCGCCGUCCCCUAAAUCUAGUGGCGGUCUCGCUGUAGCUUCCUCUGCGUAGUAGCACAACCUCGCAGUUGGAACGCGGCGGUGGCCAUGCCGUUAAACACCCCACUUCUGAAAGUUGACCUCGGAUCAGGUAGGAAUACCCGCUGAACUUAAGCAUAUCAAUAAGCGGAGGA
Molecule: unclassified non-coding RNA, 345 nt
Filed under: soil metagenome
Description: partial contains 5.8S ribosomal RNA, internal transcribed spacer 2, and large subunit ribosomal RNA
Rfam family: 5.8S ribosomal RNA (bases 1-120)
Source: RNAcentral